Molecule: ribosomal RNA, 253 nt
Filed under: uncultured bacterium
Lineage: Bacteria
Description: partial 16S ribosomal RNA
Rfam family: Bacterial small subunit ribosomal RNA
Source: RNAcentral
GACGAAGGGGGCAAGCGUUGUUCGGAUUUACUGGGCGUACAGGGCGCGUAGGCGGUUGGAUAAGCCCUCCGUGAAAUCUCCAGGCUUAACCUGGAAAGUGCAGAGGGGACUGUUCAGCUAGAGGAUGGGAGAGGAGCGCGGAAUUCCCGGUGUAGCGGUGAAAUGCGUAGAGAUCGGGAGGAAGGCCGGUGGCGAAGGCGGCGCUCUGGAACAUUUCUGACGCUGAGGCUCGAAAGCGUGGGGAGCAAACAGG